This is a long non-coding RNA of Manacus vitellinus (golden-collared manakin), 1432 nucleotides long. RefSeq lists it as uncharacterized. NCBI's taxonomy places the organism in Eukaryota, Metazoa, Chordata, Aves, Passeriformes, Pipridae. The transcript has 3 exons. The record is from RefSeq and is a predicted model, not a curated record.
UGAAAUUAGCUGUACAAAAUUGGUGUUUUAAAGCUAUUGAGCAAGAAACAAAAUUAACAUCAACAGCAGGUGGCAGUGCUAGCAAGAGCAGUGGUUCUGAUGUGAGUUGUCGGCUGGUGGUUUGUGUAGUUUCAGCUCUUCCGCAAAAGCAGUAGAGAGUGCCAGGAUCCUGUGUGCAAAGAGGACAAGACCAGCUCCCACUGAUGACUGACCCCUGGAACACCCCUCAAGCAUUGUUGUGAGGUUCAAGUAGAAGCUUGCUGUAUGUUGGUGAAGUUCACCCACUGUGCUUCUUAGAAGAGAAAAUUAGUGAAAUUGGUAAAAAAAAAUCAAAGAAGAAAACCUGUAAAGUUCCCAUGCUGUGACUGUGACACACUCCUUACACCUCACCUCCUAAUUCUCUGACACAGAGAUUGACUGGAACACAUUCCCAGCACAGCUCUACAAUAUGUCUCUGGCUUUCAACUCUCUCUGAAGAGAAUGUACCAGGUUACUGCACUGGCAGCCAGGUCUGUAUGUCUUAGAGAGAAAUCCAGGCUCAGAGAAGGUUGACUGAAGGUAUGUUUGCAAGGCACCAGGCUGGCAGGAUAGUUGUAUCCAUCAGUUGCCCUGUCUAACCUGAAGGCAUACCCAUCAUAUGAGUACACAUAUAUACACAUAUGUCUUGUGGCUGUGAAAAACCACAUGCCUUUCCUGCAGCUUUGCAGAUUGCAUUCUUGUACAUCAGUAUUCAGGUAAGUUGGAAAGCUUUCGCAAGCGGGAAGUGGAACUCAAAAGAGAGUAAGUCAAUCUCUUGAAAAGGGCUUUAAAGCAUACUUUGUUUUUUAGGAGUUUUUUAUUCUUUGGAACAAAAAGUGUGCUGAAUUGUUGUCAGGCAUAUAUGGGUAUAAUUUGUGAGUACAAAGAAAUGCAAGCAAGUUUGUUGACUUAUUGCUGUAGUGAGACAAGUAAUAAUUUUAAUUAGAUUGUAAUGAAAAUUGUUGUGUCAUGUUCCCCCCCCUCCCCUAGCGAAUUCAUUAUCUGAUUAGUCAAAAGGGAUAAAUAAUUCCUUUACAUUUGCAUUCCUUUUUGUCAAGCAGUAUGGAUUUUUCCUUCAUAUAUACAGAGAAAUGAAACUGGCUAAUAAUGAAAUCAUUGAGCAUCCUUAACUAUAAAAAGAACCUUUUAAAUCCAGAACUAGAGGAGGGUUCUGCACACAAAGCAUUCUGCACACAAAACAAUCUGAACUUCCUAUCAGAGUAACAGAAAUGGGGUGGUCCAAACACACCUCAUUGGUUCCUUCCCAUUUCUGAUGGCCUUGAAGCAGGCUUAUGCUCCUUGAUACUGGCUUUCCUAUGCUUAUUUUUGUCUAUAGAGGCCUUUUUCUAUCCAGGAGAAGGAAGUGGUGUGUAUUUGCUUCUAUAUAUACACCCAUUCCAUCUUGCAGGGUGGG